RNAcentral lists this long non-coding RNA (3062 nucleotides) under Taeniopygia guttata (zebra finch). Its description in RNAcentral is "lncRNA (ENSTGUG00000019205.1)". Lineage: Eukaryota; Metazoa; Chordata; Aves; Passeriformes; Estrildidae. The record is from RNAcentral.
UUUUGGAAGUGUACCUUUAAGAAGCAUAUGGCAGAACACAAAUGUAUUAAAGUCAUCAAUAUUUAUGGAGCAGGUAAAUGCAUAUUAGACAGGCUAGAUGCCAUCUGUCAAAAUAAUCUUGAUUCCAACUUGCUAUCCAAAAAGAUGAAGACUAUUUCUAGGGCCAGCUCCUUAAGUCAGGUUAAAAGACAACAUAUUCCUGUGCCAACAAAAGUGAGGUUAUCACAUAAAUGAAUAUGAAAGGAUAUCCUUAUGUAUUGAGUCACUGUCAAUUCCAGACAUGUACCAAAAAUGUCGGACUCUGAACACGUCAUGGAGCAGCCCUUAGGCACAACUUUGUCAAAGUAAUUUUGUCCUUCAGACCAGAGUGCUAAUUGUUCAGAAGUGCCCGGGCAAAUUUAGCCAAAAGUAAAUUAACUGGUGACUCUGUAGCCCAUUCUUAAAUCAACUAUGGGAAGAGUGGACCACAGAAGCACAUUGGUGGAAUAGAUUAUUUUAGGUAAGGAACAGGCUGAAAUUUUCCCCUUUCUAGAUUAAUUUCAGGAAGUGUUGGGGUUUAAAUAUUUAACAGUCUAAUCCUGCAUCAGCUUAUGUUAAUAAAACUGUCAUUAAACCCUGGAGGAAGAAAUUUCAGACCUUGGAAGUUAAAUUUAUUUUAAUCCUGUUACACAGGGCUGUUUAAUGUUCUCCACAGAAAUCCCUAAAAUAAGGCAAAAGUGACUUGGUUUUCAGAUUUUGGGGGGAUUUUUGUUUCACACGCACCAACCUGAAGCUCUGAUCAUGUUUGCCAAUUUGGCUAGAAUUCUGACUAAGCUUAGGGGAAAAAAAACAAACCUAAGUUAUAGCAGGGGUUUCAUGUGGUUUACGGUUUCAACCCAAAUAACUUUUAGAAUUUUUUGAGUUUCAUUCAGAAUUAAACAAAGCAGACAGUAAAUUGAAGAAAAGGGGAUGUGAAUGGUGGUGCAGCCCAAGCAGGUUUGUUGUGUAAGAGUAGAGAGAGACCCUUCCACUGGUCAUUAUCAGGGCUAAGUGCAAAAUCCCCCUUUUCAAUGUUAAAAGAAGUAUUUGAAAUUCAAUUAGCUAACAUAGCGUCAGCUGCUUCUUUUAUUUCCUCAUUCUUAAGAAACUCCAAGAGUAGACAAUUUCUGUAUAUUUAGAAGAGUUUUUUAAAAUGCCAGGAAAUGUGUCAUGUUCAGUAACCAAUAGACAUUUCAUUAACAAAGUUUCUAUUAAGCAACACACAGCCAAAGUCUCCUGAAAUCAAAGGGGGACUUUCCAUUUGCACCUUAAACAAGACUUUUAAAUACAAGCCAGGUAGUAAAAAAUUAGGCCUAAUUAUUAGAUUUAUUUUUUAUGACAUGCUUAUGUCCUCUGCUAUGUUAUUAAAUGCAGACUGCCUGAUCAAGGGUAUUUUUUUCCCUGAAAUGGGCUCCCCAAGUCUAUUUUAUAUCAUAGCAAAUACCUACAAAAUACAUUUGCCCAUUAAUGCCUUCAUUAAAAACAAGUUAAAUUUACAAGAUGAAAGCAACUUUUUAGUGAGGGUUUGUUUUUUGGGUUUUUUUUCUGUCCUACUGGCUCCAUGUUUCAUCAGUGAUGUGAACCAAAAAAUCCUAAAAUGGCCUGGGUUGGAAGGGACCUUAAAGAUCACCUAGUUCCAAAUUCUCUGCUGAGGACAAGGAUACUUUCCCCUAGACCAGGUUGCUCCAUCCAACCUGGCCUUGAACUCUUCCAGGGAUGAAGAAUGGAUGCUUGGUUGUUGGUGAUGCAAAAGAACUUGCAAUUUUUUCAUUUUUCUCUCAAAACCUCUUAUUGGGAUAAUACAUUGAGGUAUUAAGUGCAGUGGGGUUUGUUUGUUUUCCCUACCUUCAAAAGGGGUUUAUAAAAUACUAGAAAAUGACACAAUAUUCCAGUUCAGAGGUAGAAAGGGGGGAAAAAUAAUAAGGUCACUGAAAACAGGGCAUAUUUUUUCCUGUACAUGUAGAGGUCUGUGUUCUCAUUUUGAUUCUUUGACUUAAGCCCAUCCUGCAAAAUAUCUUCAGGAGUGCUCUUCACUGUGAGUGGAUGUGGCUGAGCUCCAUCUCUAACCCUGACCUCAUAGAAAACAUUCAAGGAAGACUAAGUCUAAUUUAAUCCAUUAUAUGAUUGUGCAAAAUUGCUUAACCGAAUCACAGAAGCAAAGGCAUCUACCCUGGGACAGACAUUGUCAAAGAGCUUUCAAAUGCAAAAUACAAUCUUACAGGUGAUUUAGUCGUGGGAAUUCAGCACUGAGUGUGUGCUUCACUUCUGCCUCUCCAAUCAAAACAAUGGAGCCACUAUAGAGAAAGAAAUAUUAGAACCAUUUCCCUUAUUAACUUUUCUUAUUAGAGGAUAUUUAGCUGUCUAUUCAUCUUUUCUUUUUCUUCAUUUAAUCAAAGAAGUUUUGUAAAGGAUCCUUAUUAGUAACAAAACUUCUUCCAGGGGUGAGGAGACAUUUUAAUUCUUUUUCUUAAGUAACAAAUUUAAAUAUUGGUUUCAAGAGGAAGAGGGGGGAGAAUUCUGAAUGAAAUGCAUCAAAUUCAAUUCUGAAUGAAGUUUCUUUCCACAAAAUCCAGUAGUUCUUGCAAAAGUAAUAUUUCUUCCACAACUAGCUCUUGCUUGUUAGUCACUGAAUGUUGUUUACUAGUUGGGAAAAAAAAAAAAAAAAAAAAAAAAGGUGUUUUGUUGUUUGAUUUCUGCCUCAAGUAGUUUGAAUGCAUGUUUAUACCUCAUUCAGUGAGCUGGUAAAGUGCACUGACAAAACCCUCAAGAUUUGGGAGGUUUUUUGUUAUUUGGUCAGUCCUACUUCAGGUAAACAUUACCAUAAAAAUUACCUUACUUCACUGAAACUCAACCCCAUUUUUCAUUAUUUUAGUCUGGCAUUGGACCUGUAGCAGAGUGGAAUAGCUGACACAAAGCUGAGAAGUUUGGCUCUAGGGUACCUCACCUCUGUUGUCCUUUGCAGGCCUGUGAUUCUGGGGCUGUUUACAUUUGCUGUCAGAGCACAAAGGGGAUGUUAUGGGUAAUAACAAGACCUGGAAGAAGCC